GAAACAUUAACUCGGACCAGUCACUGCUUAUUGACAUCUGGCUCCAACAUGGCAGUAUCAGUAUUGCAAAAACAUUGUAACUGAAUUGACUUACUUUGGUUGGAGCUGGAGAUGUGCCGUGAUGCUGGAAUCAACGCAGAGCAGACGCAUCUCCUUCCAACAGCCGGGACCUGCAGCAAGCAUUUCAAUGAGGGAACCCGACGCAAACCUGCAAGCCCACAGCUGACAGAAUCAUCUGGACAAAUGGGCAAUUCUCUGUCUCUCAAGUACCAUCUUUGUGCAGGGUCCAGCUCGUGGAGACCGGUUCUGACGAGUAUCCGCAGGUGCUGGAUUCAAAGUUGCAUGAGCCUGGCAGAAGCUGGCUUUGGGCUCGGACGGCGCCUGUGAGGGAUGGAAAAGUGAAGGAAGAGGUAAUGGCAAGAAUGAAUCAUCAUCAUUACCAAAACGCAGAGCAAAGGAACUCACCAGCAAAAGCUAAAAGACAGAUGAGCAGCAUUCUAUCUUUCUGUGGAGAACCUGCAGCAACAGAAGAGUUUGCAUCUGCAGAGAGGAAAGAAGUUUCAGGAAAAGUUUGUUUUCAAAGACCGAGCGUCUCUGUGGCACCCUGAAGCCUGCAGGGAGGGGGAGGAGGAGGAGGAGGCUGAGAGGAAGAAGAAGAGGAGGAGGAGAAAAGCAAAUAGCCGGGAGUUAGACAGAAAUGAAAUGGAAGGGGGCUGGUGUGACGCAGCCUCACAGCAUGAAACCAUCAGCUGGAGGGGCUGCAGAGUGAGGACACGGACUCUGAGGCCUCGCCCCUCUGUCCACGAGGGAGAAGGCAGGGUGGGCUCAAGAAACUGCUUCUAACCUUCAGUCAUCUGUUGCUCAUCUGGGGGGAAAGUGCCAAACACUUCGGAAACAACGAGAAAAAGACAUUUCUCACCCCUUCAGGCUUUGACCAGCUCCUUUCCAACCACUUACCCACCUAGAAGUGUAUUUGGAUCGGGGUGCACCCAACUCCUAAGGUCUCUUGGAUGAAGACGAGAAGUUUGUCGUUUCCACUCACAGCACUUCAAAAAAACUGAUAUUCUGCGUCAGGACUGAGCUAUCGCUCCCAUCAGCAAUCUGCUGUAACUUUUUACGCUUCUCACGCAGCUGGCUCCCCUUUGGACAGACCAACUUUGUUCAGGAGCAAAAGUUAAUAGAUGCCAGACACCGAGCAAAAAAGCAAGAAGACCAAAAUCUUUCCUCAGAGAAAAAACAAAAAACAAAAACAAGGGUUUUGUUUGGAAAUCAGGUUCCUGAGUGAAGGACGUCCAGCAGUCCAGUGUCUGCAGAUAUGAAAGUGUUCUGAGGAAAAACUCAACAUUUGUGCUCCAUCUGUCUGUCAAAGUUGGGCAGGUUCCUGUCUCUCUAUCGCCCUCUUCUGUUUGUCCCUGCUAUUACAGUCCUCUGUCCUUCA
Long non-coding RNA from Oryzias melastigma (Indian medaka), 1438 nucleotides. RefSeq lists it as uncharacterized. The transcript is spliced from 2 exons. The record is from RefSeq and is a predicted model, not a curated record. NCBI's taxonomy places the organism in Eukaryota, Metazoa, Chordata, Actinopteri, Beloniformes, Adrianichthyidae.